Molecule: ribosomal RNA, 250 nt
Filed under: uncultured bacterium
Lineage: Bacteria
Description: partial 16S ribosomal RNA
Rfam family: Bacterial small subunit ribosomal RNA
Source: RNAcentral
AAUUACUGGGCGUAAAAGCGUCAUGCAGGUGGUUUGUUAAGUCAGAUGUGAAAGCCCGGGGCUCAACUCGGAAUAGCAUUUGAAACUGGCAGACUAGAGUAACUGUAGAGGGGGUAGAAUUUCAGGUGUAGCGGUGAAAAUGCGUAGUAGAUCUGAAGGAAUACCGGUGGCGAAGGCGGCCCCCUGGACAGAUACUGACACUCAGAUGCGAAAGCGUGGGGAGUCAAACAGGAUUAGAUACCCCUGGUAG